GUCUCUGUGGCGCAAUAGGCUAGCGGCGUUCGGCUGUUAACCGAAGGUUGGUGGUUCGAGCCCACCCAGGGGCA
RNAcentral lists this transfer RNA (74 nucleotides) under Pangasianodon hypophthalmus (striped catfish). It matches the Rfam family "tRNA". From Rfam's summary of the family: Transfer RNA (tRNA) molecules are approximately 80 nucleotides in length. Their secondary structure includes four short double-helical elements and three loops (D, anti-codon, and T loops). The record is from Rfam by way of RNAcentral. Lineage: Eukaryota; Metazoa; Chordata; Actinopteri; Siluriformes; Pangasiidae.